Molecule: long non-coding RNA, 2108 nt
Filed under: Homo sapiens (human)
Lineage: Eukaryota; Metazoa; Chordata; Mammalia; Primates; Hominidae
Description: HSALNT0201011
Source: RNAcentral
UGUCCGGACUAUCGGAGAUUUACAGUGGAGCACCAUCUCCCCAAACAUUGCUACUACCUCCGUCUGAGAAGAGGCAGGCAGUGAGAACAAGCCGAGCUGAGCCUCUGGCGGUGAGGACCUGGCUAAAUCCAAGCCAGGAGCACUGUGGGCCAAGGCUGGACAGCCCUCACCUAUGGACUCUUGUCACUUCCAGAGGUGCAGAACGCUGAUGAGAUACCCCUUGGACUCCUUCCAGAAGAGUCUCCCAUUGAGGCAAUUAGGUGAGAGCUGACGACAAUUUAGCGAGCACGCAGCGAUGCCAAGGGUCUCCCGGAUCAAGAGGAUGUCUAAAAGAGUGCGGUGUUUUAGUGAUGUGUCAGCGCACAAUGAGGAAAAUGUACUUUGCAGCAUCCACUCCAUUUCCUGGUUCCUACGACGGGUUUGGCAGGAACCACAUCAUGGACAAACAAAUCAUGGUCCUAGUUUUGCCCUUCAAAAGAUACACAAAGAAAAUUGAAUCCCUUCGCCCAUGUCAGUGCUCCACUUAUUUUAGGACAAUUUCCAGGUUGUCUCUAGGACUUUCCCUUUCUGUGCUAUGAAAUGAGGCCUGAGGACACGUGCCGAGUGCCUACGGGCUGCUUGAGACGGGAGAUACCUUUUGUCCAUUCAUUCUUCAUCUCAUGCUGACUGAAGCCUUAAUGCCACUCACUCCACACAAUGGCGCCUGCCUGGAGAACUGGGUGAGAGGGUCGUUCAUCUUCGUAGUCUCACCCCGUAGCAGGAGGGACUGGCAGAGCCUCCUAGAUGCCACCCCUCCCAGGCAAAGCUUCAGCCUGCACCCCUGGACCAGGGCUAAUAACAUCAGCCACUGGCCACUUGACAUGUUGCUGAGAGAUUUCCCAAACACACAUUCCCAUCUUAGCAAAUUAACUCCAAGAACACAGUGAGGAAGAAGAUAAGUUAAAGGAGAGAUGUCUAAAUGAGAAACUAAACUCGGUCUUCCUGAGACAGCCAGUGCCGACGGCUUGCGCUGGGUGGAAAGGUGAGAUUUCAUCACUGCUUCUCCCCAGGGCUGGCAGGGGCAGAUCAAGUUGCCUCUCACUCCGGCCCCACCCUGAGGAAUGGACUCAUGGACACUGCAGGGCUUUCUCUCCUCUGAUAUCUUUGAGUCAAGGCGCCGUGUUGACCAAGUGGGUCAGAUAAAGGACUACAAAGCCAUUGUCCGAAUUGCCCAGGGAGGAUGUGGCCAACAUUCCUAGGUGUGUUUGGAAAUAUGGCUGAGACAGUAGGUGCCAAGUGAGAGACGCUGGCAAAGUAAGCCUACAUUUGGAGACCAGUGGUUCCCUGCUGUCACAGGGGACUUCGGAAUAAAUCCCUUCCAACCCACUAGCACACACGCUGCCACACACGACCAUAGAUGGUGAAUCCUGCACUCCCAACUCUCUCCCGGUGGCUUCUACAACAGGAUGUUGUUUAUUACAAUAGAAUUAAUCUGCUUUUCCAGAAUUUAGUAAUCCAUCAAUUGACAAACUUCCCUGAUACAUACUUUUAAGAUUCUAGAAAAAUUCAACUCAUUAUUAUACAUUAUUCACUUCCCAAAUCAGUGAAAACUGCAUGUGAUAUGUUAUAACCAUAAAAUUAUUACAUCAAGCACUUAUGGACAAAAGUUAAGUCACAAAAUAGGUGGAAAGAAGAAAACAAUUAUAUUAGAAGACUUAACCUAAGGAAGUAUGAAAUUUAGCUCUGAGCUUCUGCAGUAAAAUAGAAAAGAGGCAGGCGGAUCACUUGAGGUCAGGAGUUCGAGACCAGCCUGGGCAACAUGGUGAAACUCUGUUUCUACUAAAAACACAAAAAUUAGCAGGACGUACUGUUGCAUGCUUGUAAUCCCAGCUAGUUGGGAGGCUGAGACGUGAGAAUCCCUUGAACCCAGGAGGCAGAGGUUGCAGUGAGCGGAGAUCUUGCCACUGCACUCCAGCCUGGGCAACAGAGUGAGACUCUGUCUCAAAAUAAUAAUAAUAAAUAAAUAAAUAAAAUAUAAAAGGGAAUAAAAGCGACAUAUGUGCCAUUAUUUAAUGCAAGAGAGCAUACAAAUUCAUCUGGAGAAGUUGCCUUGAUACAUUUCAAGUAAG